AUGGAAACUGAUGCUGCGGCCGUGUUGCUCGCCGGAAUCCUCUCUAAGAGAGGGAUAGUUGCCCCGGCGAAGCAGUUACACGAUCUGAUCAAGUUGGGAGGGCGUUGGGGUCACUUUUCUGACCCCCACCUGUUGUUUUCGGUGUCUGAGUGGCGAGACUUUGGGGGAACAAUGUGGCAGAAGACGACUGAGGGAGGCGAGAAGGAGGAAAAGGAAAUAAAAGCUGUUCGCGCACUUUGGAACACAGUACUAGAGACUUUAACGGCAAUGAAGGCGGAAAGGGAAGUAGCGUCCGCAGCUGCCCAAAUGUUGGGCCCCGGGGCUUCCAGUACCAGGCCCCCUCCGAGCAGGCCAGGCCUGGUCUCGCGUUUUUUUGGACCGCACCCGGUGAAGGGGCCCAUGGGGCCAGUGUGCCGGUCUGUCGGGGAGGUACUGCAAAGGGCGCGGGAGAACUCCGAGGGGGAGGCAUCGUCAGCGCUGUCGCCCCCUGCGUCCCAGAAAGAGGAAGUUGCCUCAGCGCCGGCCGGUCCGAGCUCUGAGGCAAACGCGGACGUGCACCCGGAGGAGGCUCAAAGAGGGGCGGGCGCCGCGCCCCUUGCUGACCUCAUAGACUCGGGCGGAAAGGAGGGCCGACCCCCUCCUAGUGCUCCCCCCCCGCCGCUGCCUAGCAACAAUCCCCUGUACCCACCGUUGCCGCUGCCUACGCCACCUCAGCGGCCGCCUCUACCCUCCUUCAACGAGACCACCCGCUCACGUCAGACCCCAUCAGAGCAUCCUCCACUGCCUUUGUCCAGCGAGUCUUUGGGGGAUAACACGCCUGACACCAGAAAUAAAGUACCGCCGUCACCAGGAGAAACCGCAAGAGCGCUGCAGGAGCUAUCGGAUCGCCUGAAAAAGGUGGAACUGCAGACAAAGGAAAAGGAGAGGGAGGUCCCUCCCUGCUUAAUGAAUCCCCUCGCCAGACCUCCAAGGGAGUCCCGCUGGAGURGUAUUAUCAAGGACGCUAUUGCAGACGGUCAGUGGAAAGCCACCGGAGGGACGGGAGGUCUCACCCYGCUGGCAUUUCCGAUAUUACACCAGCACGGGCAGGGAAAAUGGGAGCCGCAUGAUUGGAAGAUCUUGCAGCAGGCCCGUACGACCGUCUCCACAUAUGGGGUCAAGUCGGAGGCCACUCGACAAAUAGUUAGUUGGAUCUUCUCUGCCGACCUCAUGUGUCCUUAUGAUUGUAAGAACUUAAUGAGACUGUUACUCACCCCAACAGCAGCUUAUUAUGACUAUCAAAACCGUAAUUCAUUCUGUGGCACCAAUGAAACGAGCCGCCAAGGGCUGGGAGCCCUUGGAGCUGAGGCGAAAGGGGGGCACCCAAUUUGGAACAAUGGUACCCCGAAAGCCUUGCCGCCAGACGUCUUUUUGAUAUGUGGUGACAGGGCCUGGCAGGGAAUUCCAAAAAACAUAAUGGGUGGUCCAUGUUAUCUUGGUAAAUUGACACUGCUGGCACCAGAUAAAAAUUGGUGGAAAAAUAUAACGGGGAACAGGACCGCCACCUGUAGUAAACGGGCGGCCAUAGGGCUCUCACCCGAUUGUAAUGAUAAGGUUACCCUACUCAGCCCUACUGAAAGAGUGUUUUUGUCUCUCUUCGUGCCUGGGGCAGCAGCAGGCAACGCCUUAAACCAAAUAGGACAAUUGGCUUGCUGGGCUGAGAAGCAAGCUAACGUCACCACUGAGGUAAUAGAGAGCCUAUUAGAGGACCAAAAUAGCCUGCGACAUGCUAUUCUGCAAAAUAGGGCUGCAAUUGAUUUUUUGUUAUUAGCUCAAGAUCAUGGUUGUGAGGAUUUUGAAGGUAUGUGCUGCAUGAAUUUGUCUGAUCAUAGUGAAUCCAUUCACAAACAAUUGCAGUGGUUGAAGGAGCACGCAAGUAAAAUCCAUCAGAACCAUGGGCUAUUAGACGAAUGGCUAACUAACCUAUUUGGAAAUCUGCCACAGUGGCUAAUAGGGUUGCUUACUGAAGGCUUACGCAUCUUAAUAAUCCUUGUAGUUAUAUGUUUGUGUUUAUGUGUAGUAUUAAGCUGUAUUAAGAAAGCUCUGCUGAAAGUAGUGAACCAAGCCUGGAUUGCUCAAAAACAAGAAGGGGGAAUUGUGGAAGAAUGGUUAAGUGAAAAGGGGCAUGAUCUCUUAGAAGUGAGCAAUCCUGUCUUCACGAUGGAGGGAGGAUCCCACAGCUAUGCGAGCUGUCCUUGA
Apteryx haastii (Great spotted kiwi) is the source of this 2238-nucleotide long non-coding RNA. NCBI's taxonomy places the organism in Eukaryota, Metazoa, Chordata, Aves, Apterygiformes, Apterygidae. The record is from Ensembl.